Molecule: non-coding RNA, 312 nt
Organism: Vicia faba (fava bean)
Lineage: Eukaryota; Viridiplantae; Streptophyta; Magnoliopsida; Fabales; Fabaceae
Source: the annotation of a GenBank genome assembly
AUGGGAAAAAGACCUCACAUACUUAUAAUAAAACCUUAUCAUGCAAUGAGCUACAUCACCAAAACCCAUUUAAUUUUCUUUUAUAAUGUUGAUUUAUGGCGCAGGUUAUUGAAUGGACUUGAUAUGAUAUGGACCAUAUGCUGUUCAUGUGGACGGCUAAAAGAUAACGAUAAGAACCAAGGGCUAUUUCAAGAGAGAGAGAGAGUGCGCGCGCGUCGUCACCAAUUUUCGGUUAACGGAUUCGUUCUUUUCUUCACCAGUUCAAAGCAUCUUUUUCUCGGUUCGAUGAAUUUUCCACACUUUUCUUCAUAA